UCUUGUAUUGGUUUAAGCCUUUUGCAUGAUUUAGAAAACAACAUAUCCUUAAUGCAAAGCCAUUCACUUGAUCAAUUGAUCAAGAUGAAUUAGAUUUGGAUCAAGGAAGAUUAAGUUUCCCUAAUUAAUGCUAACUUAUCAACCUUCAACUCAUUGAUCAAAAAGAAAAAAAAGAAGGAGAAGAAGAAGGAGAUGGAUAAUGGAAAUAAAAA
This 212-nucleotide long non-coding RNA is filed under the name Lathyrus oleraceus (garden pea). RNAcentral describes it as "Pisum sativum (pea) long non-coding RNA (PSAT_LNC007414)". Lineage: Eukaryota; Viridiplantae; Streptophyta; Magnoliopsida; Fabales; Fabaceae. The record is from RNAcentral.